GGAGGACGUGGCCCGGUUCGGCCGGAGCACGGCGUUCGGCGCGCGCCGGCGGCGGUCGUACAGCCUGCUGCCGUACGGAUCGAUCGCCGUCGCCUUCACC
Molecule: transfer RNA, 100 nt
Filed under: Paractinoplanes deccanensis
Lineage: Bacteria; Bacillati; Actinomycetota; Actinomycetes; Micromonosporales; Micromonosporaceae
Description: Actinoplanes deccanensis tRNA-Ala
Source: RNAcentral